GUUGGUUUAUCCAGCAGGAGUAAAACCUGCCUCGGAAAUCUGAGGGUGGCCACGAACCCACAAGUCCAGAUUCGCAGGUGCGAGCGCUAAAGACUGAGCUACUGGGUCGAUGGAGAACGUCUUUCUCUGCGUCAGGGGCGGAAAGACUUAUCUCCCACCAAAAAGCAAAAACAAAAAGGAGAAGCCGGUGGCUCGUUGGUCUAGGGGUAUGAUUCUCGCUUUGGGUGUGAGAGGUCCUGGGUUCAAAUCCCAGACGAGCUCCUUUUUCCUUUUCUCCCUUUUCGGAUUUUCAGCCAGGACGUGAGACUAGGAAGGCGGAGGUAGGUUCCUGUUGGCAGGGCCUCAGUGGAGACCUUCCGGGGUCCCGGGACGCAGACGCAGCGGCCUGAAUCGCUCGCCUUGCUGAAAUGGGAUCCAGCGCGGCCAACUGCUGCAACCGCUGUUAAAGGAGACGACCCCGGGCAGCAGGAGGAAGUUAUUUAUAGGACGUUAUUUAGAAUAAGGAAGAACGCGCCGGGCUCAUUGGUCGCUCCAGGGGCAUAAAUUUUUUCUAGGAUUCGAGAGUAUGGCGGCUCAAGUCCCAGGCGGGUCUGAAACAAGAGUCUACUCGCUGGGUCCGCCCCUGCGGCCCCCAGGAUGCUAGGACGCCCACAAAGAUAACCUUAAACUAUUCGGCUCGGCCUACAGACCUCAGCGCUAGACAUGGACGCCCUUCAAAGGAGGACAUUUCAGCGGACGGCAGAGAAUACAGAUUUAUGUCGGGGCGGUGUGGAAGGAGCCUCUGGCGGGUCAUCCCCAUUUAUGGGAGAUCGCAGAGUGGUGAGCGAAGACUUACACCAGCGGGGGCAUCCGUGCGGAACUGAAACUGUUGUGGGGGACCCCCAGUCGCCCUGGUUUCUGGGGCUGAUUCAUUAUGUCACUUAGUUUCUACUAUUCUCAUGCCACCCCGCCAUUUACUAGACAUAAAGCAUUCUUAAGGGAGCCCGGCUAGCUCAGUCGGUAGAGCAUGAGACUCUUAAUCUCAGGGUCGUGGGUUCGAGCCCCACGUUGGGCGACUUGUUUUCUUCCUUGCUACCUUGGAGUUCUGGAAACAGCCAGCGUUUAAUGAACACUGCUAGGUGCCACAUCGCGCUCUGUGAUGGUAUCUCCUCCAUCAUUGAAUUUUGGUCCCCGCGCGCUCGCAGCAGCGAGGAUUGUCUGUGAAGUGACCAAAGGCAGCACCGGGAUUGGCUGGUUGCCAGCCGGAG
RNAcentral lists this transfer RNA (1247 nucleotides) under Piliocolobus tephrosceles (Ugandan red Colobus). RNAcentral describes it as "lncRNA (ENSPTEG00000012602.1)". The stretch from base 982 to 1054 matches the Rfam family "tRNA". Lineage: Eukaryota; Metazoa; Chordata; Mammalia; Primates; Cercopithecidae. The record is from RNAcentral.